RNAcentral lists this ribosomal RNA (2901 nucleotides) under Streptococcus thermophilus ND03. RNAcentral's name for it is "bacterial LSU rRNA". It matches the Rfam family "Bacterial large subunit ribosomal RNA". The record is from RNAcentral. Lineage: Bacteria; Bacillati; Bacillota; Bacilli; Lactobacillales; Streptococcaceae.
AGGUUAAGUUAAUAAGGGCGCACGGUGGAUGCCUUGGCACUAGAAGCCGAUGAAGGACGUGACUAACGACGAAAUGCUUUGGGGAGCUGUAAGUGAGCAAUGAUCCAGAGAUGUCCGAAUGGGGGAACCCGGCAGGUAAUGCCUGUCACUCAUUACUGUUAAGGUAAUGUAGAGGAAGACGCAGUGAACUGAAACAUCUAAGUAGCUGUAGGAAGAGAAAGCAAAAGCGAUUGCCUUAGUAGCGGCGAGCGAAACGGCAAGAGGGCAAACCGAAGAGUUUACUCUUCGGGGUUGUAGGACUGCAACGUGGACUUAAAGAUUAUAGAAGAACUACCUGGGAAGGUAGGCCAAAGAGAGUAAUAGCCUCGUAUUCGAAAUAGUCUUUAUACCUAGCAGUAUCCUGAGUACGGCGAGACACGAGAAAUCUCGUCGGAAUCUGGGAGGACCAUCUCCCAACCCUAAAUACUCUCUAGUGACCGAUAGUGAACCAGUACCGUGAGGGAAAGGUGAAAAGCACCCCGGGAGGGGAGUGAAAUAGAACCUGAAACCGUGUGCCUACAACAAGUUCGAGCCCGUUAAUGGGUGAGAGCGUGCCUUUUGUAGAAUGAACCGGCGAGUUACGAUAUGAUGCGAGGUUAAGUUGAAGAGACGGAGCCGUAGGGAAACCGAGUCUUAAUAGGGCGCAUUAGUAUCAUGUCGUAGACCCGAAACCAUGUGACCUACCCAUGAGCAGGUUGAAGGUGAGGUAAAACUCACUGGAGGACCGAACCAGGGCACGUUGAAAAGUGCUUGGAUGACUUGUGGGUAGCGGAGAAAUUCCAAACGAACUUGGAGAUAGCUGGUUCUCUCCGAAAUAGCUUUAGGGCUAGCGUCGAUGUUAAGUCUCUUGGAGGUAGAGCACUGUUUGGGUGAGGGGUCCAUCCCGGAUUACCAAUCUCAGAUAAACUCCGAAUGCCAAUGAGAUAUAAUCGGCAGUCAGACUGCGAGUGCUAAGAUCCGUAGUCGAAAGGGAAACAGCCCAGACCACCAGCUAAGGUCCCAAAAUAUAUGUUAAGUGGAAAAGGAUGUGGGGUUGCACAGACAACUAGGAUGUUAGCUUAGAAGCAGCUAUUCAUUCAAAGAGUGCGUAAUAGCUCACUAGUCGAGUGACCCUGCGCCGAAAAUGUACCGGGGCUAAAACAUAUUACCGAAGCUGUGGAUACCUUUAUAGGUAUGGUAGGAGAGCGUUCUAUGUGCGAAGAAGGUGUACCGUGAGGAGUGCUGGAGCGCAUAGAAGUGAGAAUGCCGGUAUGAGUAGCGAAAGACAGGUGAGAAUCCUGUCCACCGUAAGACUAAGGUUUCCAGGGGAAGGCUCGUCCGCCCUGGGUUAGUCGGGACCUAAGGAGAGACCGAAAGGUGUAUCCGAUGGACAACAGGUUGAUAUUCCUGUACUAGAGUAUAUAGUGAUGGAGGGACGCAGUAGGCUAACUAAACCAGACGAUUGGAAGUGUCUGGCCAAGCAGUGAGGUGUGAUAUGAGUCAAAUGCUUAUAUCUUUAACAUUGAGCUGUGAUGGGGAGCGAAGUUUAGUAGCGAAGUUAGUGAUGUCACACUGCCGAGAAAAGCUUCUAGCGUUAAUUAUACUCUCCCGUACCGCAAACCCGACACAGGUAGUCGAGGCGAGUAGCCUCAGGUGAGCGAGAGAACUCUCGUUAAGGAACUCGGCAAAAUGGCCCCGUAACUUCGGGAGAAGGGGCGCUGACUGAUGGUCAGCCGCAGUGAAUAGGCCCAAGCAACUGUUUAUCAAAAACACAGCUCUCUGCUAAAUCGUAAGAUGAUGUAUAGGGGGUGACGCCUGCCCGGUGCUGGAAGGUUAAGAGGAGUGCUUAGCGUAAGCGAAGGCAUGAAUUGAAGCCCCAGUAAACGGCGGCCGUAACUAUAACGGUCCUAAGGUAGCGAAAUUCCUUGUCGGGUAAGUUCCGACCCGCACGAAAGGCGUAAUGAUUUGGGCACUGUCUCAACGAGAGACUCGGUGAAAUUUUAGUACCUGUGAAGAUGCAGGUUACCCGCGACAGGACGGAAAGACCCCAUGGAGCUUUACUGCAGUUUGAUAUUGAGUAUCUGUACCACAUGUACAGGAUAGGUAGGAGCCUAUGACCUCGGGACGCCAGUUUCGAGUGAGGCGUUGUUGGGAUACUACCCUUGUGUUAUGGCUACUCUAACCCAGAUAGGUUAUCCCUAUCGGAGACAGUGUCUGACGGGCAGUUUGACUGGGGCGGUCGCCUCCUAAAAGGUAACGGAGGCGCCCAAAGGUUCCCUCAGAAUGGUUGGAAAUCAUUCGCAGAGUGUAAAGGUAUAAGGGAGCUUGACUGCGAGAGUUACAACUCGAGCAGGGACGAAAGUCGGGCUUAGUGAUCCGGUGGUUCCGUAUGGAAGGGCCAUCGCUCAACGGAUAAAAGCUACCCUGGGGAUAACAGGCUUAUCUCCCCCAAGAGUUCACAUCGACGGGGAGGUUUGGCACCUCGAUGUCGGCUCGUCGCAUCCUGGGGCUGUAGUCGGUCCCAAGGGUUGGGCUGUUCGCCCAUUAAAGCGGCACGCGAGCUGGGUUCAGAACGUCGUGAGACAGUUCGGUCCCUAUCCGUCGCGGGCGUAGGAAAUUUGAGAGGAUCUGCUCCUAGUACGAGAGGACCAGAGUGGACUUACCGCUGGUGUACCAGUUGUUCUGCCAAGAGCAUCGCUGGGUAGCUAUGUAGGGAAGGGAUAAACGCUGAAAGCAUCUAAGUGUGAAGCCCACCUCAAGAUGAGAUUUCCCAUGAUUUUAUAUCAGUAAGAGCCCUGAGAGAUGAUCAGGUUGAUAGGUUAGAAGUGGAAGUGUGGUGACACAUGUAGCGGACUAAUACUAAUAGCUCGAGGACUUAUCCAA